GACGAACGCUGGCGGCGCGCCUAACACAUGCAAGUCGAACGAGAGAGAGGAAGCUUGCUUCCUUAAUCGAGUGGCGAACGGGUGAGUAACGCGUGAGGAACCUGCCUCAAAGAGGGGGACAACAGUUGGAAACGACUGCUAAUACCGCAUAAGACCACAGAGCCGCAUGGCUCAGGGGUCAAAGGAGAAAUCCGCUGAAGGAUGGCCUCGCGUCCGAUUAGCUAGAUGGCGGGGUAACGGCCCACCAUGGCGACGAUCGGUAGCCGGACUGAGAGGUUGAUCGGCCACAUUGGGACUGAGACACGGCCCAG
This 311-nucleotide ribosomal RNA is filed under the name uncultured bacterium. Its description in RNAcentral is "bacterial SSU rRNA". It matches the Rfam family "Bacterial small subunit ribosomal RNA", at positions 28 to 334 of the family's 1533-position model. The record is from RNAcentral.